Non-coding RNA from Homo sapiens (human), 116 nucleotides. It matches the Rfam family "Metazoan signal recognition particle RNA". From Rfam's summary of the family: The signal recognition particle (SRP) is a universally conserved ribonucleoprotein. NCBI's taxonomy places the organism in Eukaryota, Metazoa, Chordata, Mammalia, Primates, Hominidae. The record is from Rfam.
GCCGGGUGUGGUGGCUCAUGCCUGUAAUCCUAACUAUCGGGAGGCUGAGGUGGGUGGAUCACCUGAGGUCAGGAGUUUGAGACCAUCCUGGCCAACAUGGUGAAACCCUGUCUCUA